GACGAACGCUGGCGGCGUGCUUAACACAUGCAAGUCGAACGGAAAGGCCCUGCUUUUGUGGGGUGCUCGAGUGGCGAACGGGUGAGUAACACGUGAGUAACCUGCCCUUGACUUUGGGAUAACUUCAGGAAACUGGGGCUAAUACCGGAUAGGAGCUCCUGCUGCAUGGUGGGGGUCGGAAAGUUUCGGCGGUUGGGGAUGGACUCGCGGCUUAUCAGCUUGUUGGUGGGGCAGUGGCUUACCAAGGCUUUGACGGGUAGCCGGCCUGAGAGGGUGACCGGCCACAUUGGGACUGAGAUACGGCCCAGACUCCUACGGGAGGCAGCAGUGGGGAAUAUUGCACAAUGGGCGGAAGCCUGAUGCAGCAACGCCGCGUGCGGGAUGACGGCCUUCGGGUUGUAAACCGCUUUCGCCUGUGACGAAGCGUGAGUGACGGUAAUGGGUAAAGAAGCACCGGCUAACUACGUG
Molecule: ribosomal RNA, 468 nt
Filed under: uncultured bacterium
Lineage: Bacteria
Description: partial 16S ribosomal RNA
Rfam family: Bacterial small subunit ribosomal RNA
Source: RNAcentral